RNAcentral lists this ribosomal RNA (253 nucleotides) under uncultured bacterium. RNAcentral's name for it is "partial 16S ribosomal RNA". It matches the Rfam family "Bacterial small subunit ribosomal RNA", at positions 524 to 776 of the family's 1533-position model. The record is from RNAcentral.
UACGAAGGGGGCUAGCGUUGCUCGGAAUGACUGGGCGUAAAGGGCGCGUAGGCGGCUCAUACAGUCAGGCGUGAAAUUCCUGGGCUCAACCUGGGGACUGCGCUUGAGACGUGUGGGCUUGAGUGGGGAAGAGGGUCGUGGAAUUCCCGGUGUAGUGGUGAAAUGCGUAGAGAUCGGGAGGAACACCAGUGGCGAAGGCGGCCGGCUGGGGGUGACCUGACGCUGAGGCGCGAAAGCGUGGGGAGCGAACCGG